AUUGAACGCUGGCGGCAGGCUUAACACAUGCAAGUCGAGCGAGCGGCGGACGGGUGAGUAAUGUCUGGGAAACUGCCUGAUGGAGGGGGAUAACUAUUGGAAACGGUAGCUAAUACCGCAUACCAUCAGAUGUGCCCAGAUGGGAUUAGCUAGGAGGUGGGGUAAGGGCUCACCUAGGCGACGAUCCCUAGCUGGUCUGAGAGGAUGACCGGCAACACGGGAACUGAGACACGGUCAAGCCUCCUAGGGGAGGCAGCGGUGGGGAAUAUUGCACAAUGGGCGCAAGCCUGAUGCAGCCAGGCCGCGUGUGGGAAGAAGGCCUUCGGGUUGUAAAGCACUUUCAGCGAGGAGGCGUUACCCACAGAAGAAGCACCGGCUAACUCCGUGCCAGCAGCCGCGGUAAUUC
This 406-nucleotide ribosomal RNA is filed under the name uncultured bacterium. RNAcentral describes it as "partial 16S ribosomal RNA". It matches the Rfam family "Bacterial small subunit ribosomal RNA", at positions 29 to 526 of the family's 1533-position model. The record is from RNAcentral.